This 253-nucleotide ribosomal RNA is filed under the name uncultured bacterium. RNAcentral describes it as "partial 16S ribosomal RNA". It matches the Rfam family "Bacterial small subunit ribosomal RNA", at positions 524 to 776 of the family's 1533-position model. The record is from RNAcentral.
UACGAAGGGGGCUAGCGUUGUUCGGAAUUACUGGGCGUAAAGCGCACGUAGGCGGAUCUUUAAGUCAGGGGUGAAAUCCCGAGGCUCAACCUCGGAACUGCCUUUGAUACUGGGGAUAUCGAGUCCGGGAGAGGUGAGUGGAACUGCGAGUGUAGAGGUGAAAUUCGUAGAUAUUCGCAAGAACACCAGUGGCGAAGGCGGCUCACUGGCCCGGUACUGACGCUGAGGUGCGAAAGCGUGGGGAGCAAACAGG